RNAcentral lists this small nuclear RNA (105 nucleotides) under Solanum tuberosum (potato). The record is from RNAcentral. Lineage: Eukaryota; Viridiplantae; Streptophyta; Magnoliopsida; Solanales; Solanaceae.
AGAAUUUAUCAUCCCAUUCAAUUAAAUUUGAACGAUAUAGAGAAGAUCAGCAUGAUCCCUACGCAAGGAUAACAUACACAAACCUAUGACAACACCAAAAUAUGU